Lutra lutra (Eurasian river otter) is the source of this 438-nucleotide long non-coding RNA. RefSeq lists it as uncharacterized. The record is from RefSeq and is a predicted model, not a curated record. The transcript is spliced from 3 exons. Lineage: Eukaryota; Metazoa; Chordata; Mammalia; Carnivora; Mustelidae.
GCCAGCUGCUUCAAUGAGUCUGGUCGCGUGAGCCCGGCUAUCCUGAGCCAUCCAGCCUGCCCGGAUCUGGCUCAGUCCAGAAGAACUGUCCGGCUGAGCACGGACUCAGGAGCAAUAGGAACUCGAAGCUAGUGUUGCCCUGGCUUUGACAGCCUGACCAGGCAUCUCCAGCAAACACAUAGUGCCCAUGUCGGCCACUGGCACAGGACAGGCUCUUCACCCUUCCACUUGCCACCGCCAUGCCCCAGAGGCAAAAGUUCACAUCCAGGUGCUGUCUUGGAAAGGAGGAAGGUGAGGGAAGAAAUCAGAGAGACUCCACUCAUUAAAGAGAAACCGAGGCAAUGUCCUGGAGAAGAAAGGUGGAUACAGACUCUGGCACUCAGGGAGCUUCUCCCAACAGAGAAGUGAGGAGGGGGCCGACGGAAAACAUCAUAUUAU